Molecule: long non-coding RNA, 217 nt
Filed under: Setaria italica (foxtail millet)
Lineage: Eukaryota; Viridiplantae; Streptophyta; Magnoliopsida; Poales; Poaceae
Description: long non-coding RNA (SITA_LNC005892)
Source: RNAcentral
GAAGGGCGCGGAGUUGCCCCGGAGGGUCGUGACCCAGGGGGAUUCAGGGCGCGCGCAAGGGGAGUUUCCACCGAAACAAACCCGAAUCAUAUAUGUAUAAUUGAGCAAACUUAGGAGACUCAUCUUUAGCAGGUAUCAAGGAACCAAUACGAUGAUAUACUAAACCAUUAAUCUUGAACACAUAAGGGCCAAUGCCGUCAUUAAUUCCAUUGUUGAU